RNAcentral lists this transfer RNA (67 nucleotides) under Phaenacantha marcida. Its description in RNAcentral is "tRNA-Arg". Lineage: Eukaryota; Metazoa; Arthropoda; Insecta; Hemiptera; Colobathristidae. The record is from RNAcentral.
GGAUAUUGAAGUAAAAAUUUUACAUUUAGUUUCGACCUAAAAUUAGAAUAAACAAAUUCCUUAUCUU